GAGAGAGUAGGGGUUUCAAGAAAAAUAGGAGAGAGACAAAGGAGAGAGAAAGAACUGCUUGUGGAAAUACAGAAUAUCCCACAUUUUCAAUGUGGAAAGUGUAUGAGGGCAGCAGUAGGGCUGAUUGGAGCCAUUGUACAGUGUCGGGAACAUACCAGCACACUGAGAAUAGCAUCAUGUCAUAAGGACCCAGAGCAGGUGGACCCUGCUGUGAUGCACAAAGAGGACCAUGCAAGAUAUGAUAAAGAUCUAUGUCACUGAAUUUUGGUUCUGUAUUUGUAUCUCAGCUUCCCGGAAAUAAAAAAGAAUUCUAACAUUCAUACUUUCAGUAUUUUAUGUGAGAGGUUUUGUUGUCAAAAUCAAGUCUGAGAGCAAUGUUUAUUGGGGCCUUUAAUUGGAGUCACCAAGCGAUAAAGGGGACAUUGUCCUCAACAAUAAAACUAUAAUAAACACGUUUUGGACAAUAAAUAUAUGACAGUUUCUUAAAAGCAAUUUCUUGGGCAAUCAAGACAAUAUGGCUUGAGUAUGGAGUUAUAUGAUGGUCUGGAUUAAUCCAGUAUUAAAUCUCUGGUUAUUACAGAAAUCAGUGGAGCCUAUUCUUCCAAAUAAGCCUUAAAUAUUACUUAUCUCAACUGAGAUUUUGGUGAAAAUUUAGCUUUAGAGCUUUUAUUGACUUGCCAAUGACCUGAAGUUAAGAUUAUUCUUUU
Molecule: long non-coding RNA, 707 nt
Organism: Pan troglodytes (chimpanzee)
Lineage: Eukaryota; Metazoa; Chordata; Mammalia; Primates; Hominidae
Source: Ensembl